This 765-nucleotide ribosomal RNA is filed under the name uncultured Streptococcus sp. RNAcentral's name for it is "bacterial SSU rRNA". It matches the Rfam family "Bacterial small subunit ribosomal RNA", at positions 28 to 776 of the family's 1533-position model. Lineage: Bacteria; Bacillati; Bacillota; Bacilli; Lactobacillales; Streptococcaceae. The record is from RNAcentral.
GAUGAACGCUGGCGGCGUGCCUAAUACAUGCAAGUAGAACGCUGAAGCUUGGUGCUUGCACCGAGCGGAUGAGUUGCGAACGGGUGAGUAACGCGUAGGUAACCUGCCUGGUAGCGGGGGAUAACUAUUGGAAACGAUAGCUAAUACCGCAUAACAGUGGAUGUUGCAUGACAUUUACUUAAAAGGGGCAAUUGCUCCACUACCAGAUGGACCUGCGUUGUAUUAGCUAGUUGGUGAGGUAACGGCUCACCAAGGCAACGAUACAUAGCCGACCUGAGAGGGUGAUCGGCCACACUGGGACUGAGACACGGCCCAGACUCCUACGGGAGGCAGCAGUAGGGAAUCUUCGGCAAUGGACGGAAGUCUGACCGAGCAACGCCGCGUGAGUGAAGAAGGUUUUCGGAUCGUAAAGCUCUGUUGUAAGAGAAGAAUGAGUGUGAGAGUGGAAAGUUCACACUGUGACGGUAUCUUACCAGAAAGGGACGGCUAACUACGUGCCAGCAGCCGCGGUAAUACGUAGGUCCCGAGCGUUAUCCGGAUUUAUUGGGCGUAAAGCGAGCGCAGGCGGUUAGAUAAGUCUGAAGUUAAAGGCUGUGGCUUAACCAUAGUACGCUUUGGAAACUGUUUAACUUGAGUGCAGAAGGGGAGAGUGGAAUUCCAUGUGUAGCGGUGAAAUGCGUAGAUAUAUGGAGGAACACCGGUGGCGAAAGCGGCUCUCUGGUCUGUAACUGACGCUGAGGCUCGAAAGCGUGGGGAGCAAACAGG